CGAUGAAGGGGGAGCUUGCUCCUCCGGAUUAGUGGCGAACGGGUGAGUAAUACGUGAGCAAUGUGCCCUUGACUCUGGGAUAAGCGCUGGAAACGGCGUCUAAUACCGGAUACGACCAUCGGAGGCAUCUCCUGGUGGUGGAAAGAACUUCGGUCAAGGAUCAGCUCACGGCCUAUCAGCUUGUUGGUGAGGUAACGGCUCACCAAGGCGACGACGGGUAGCCGGCCUGAGAGGGUGACCGGCCACACUGGGACUGAGACACGGCCCAGACUCCUACGGGAGGCAGCAGUGGGGAAUAUUGCACAAUGGGCGCAAGCCUGAUGCAGCAACGCCGCGUGAGGGACGAAGGCCUUCGGGUUGUAAACCUCUUUUAGCAGGGAAGAAGCGAGAGUGACGGUACCUGCAGAAAAAGCACCGGCUAACUACGUGCCAGCAGCCGCGGUAAUACGUAGGGUGCAAGCGUUGUCCGGAAUUAUUGGGCGUAAAGAGCUCGUAGGCGGUCUGUCGCGUCUGCUGUGAAAACCCGAGGCUCAACCUCGGGCUUGCAGUGGGUACGGGCAGACUAGAGUGCGGUAGGGGAGAUUGGAAUUCCUGGUGUAGCGGUGGAAUGCGCAGAUAUCAGGAGGAACACCGAUGGCGAAGGCAGAUCUCUGGGCCGUAACUGACGCUGAGGAGCGAAAGCAUGGGGAGCAAACAGGCUUAGAUACCCUGGUAGUCCAUGCCGUAAACGUUGGGAACUAGAUGUGGGGACCAUUCCACGGUCUCCGUGUCGUAGCUAACGCAUUAAGUUCCCCGCCUGGGGAGUACGGCCGCAAGGCUAAAACUCAAA
Molecule: ribosomal RNA, 829 nt
Filed under: Agrococcus sp.
Lineage: Bacteria; Bacillati; Actinomycetota; Actinomycetes; Micrococcales; Microbacteriaceae
Description: bacterial SSU rRNA
Rfam family: Bacterial small subunit ribosomal RNA
Source: RNAcentral